RNAcentral lists this ribosomal RNA (255 nucleotides) under uncultured bacterium. RNAcentral's name for it is "partial 16S ribosomal RNA". It matches the Rfam family "Bacterial small subunit ribosomal RNA", at positions 524 to 776 of the family's 1533-position model. The record is from RNAcentral.
GACAGAGGUGCCGAGCGUUAGGCGGAAUCACUGGGCUUAAAGCGUGUGUAGGCGGGUCGUUAAGUGCCUUGUGAAAUCCCACAGCUCACCCUGUGGAACUGCUUGGCAUACUGGCGAUCGUUGAGCCACUUAGGGGCAACCGGAACAAACGGUGGAGCGGUGAAAUGCGUAGAUAUCGUUUGGAACGCCAAUGGUGAAAACAGGUUGCUGGGAGUGUGCUGACGCUGAGACACGAAAGCCAGGGGAGCAAACGGG